This 439-nucleotide ribosomal RNA is filed under the name uncultured bacterium. RNAcentral's name for it is "partial 16S ribosomal RNA". It matches the Rfam family "Bacterial small subunit ribosomal RNA", at positions 339 to 795 of the family's 1533-position model. The record is from RNAcentral.
CUACGGGGAGCUCCAGUGAGGAAUAUUGCACAAUGGGGGGAACCCUGAUGCAGCAACGCCGCGUGGAGGAUGACGCAUUUCGGUGUGUAAACUCCUUUUAUAUGUCAAGAAAAUGACGGUAGCAUAUGAAUAAGCACCGGCUAACUCCGUGCCAGCAGCCGCGGUAAUACGGAGGGUGCAAGCGUUACUCGGAAUCACUGGGCGUAAAGGACGCGUAGGCGGGUUGGGAAGUCAGGUGUGAAAUCCUACAGCUUAACUGUAGAACUGCACUUGAAACUUCUAAUCUAGAGUAUGGGAGGGGGAGAUGGAAUUAGUGGUGUAGGGGUAAAAUCCGUAGAUAUCACUAGGAAUACCUAAAGCGAAGGCGAUCUCCUGGAACAUUACUGACGCUAAGGCGUGAAAGCGUGGGGAGCAAACAGGAUUAGAUACCCCUGUAGUC